AGAGAGAGAGAGAGAGAGAGAAUCCUAAGCAGGCUCUGUGCUGACAGCACAGAGCUUGACGUGGGGCUCACUCUCAACCAUCACGAGAUCACGACCUAACCUGAAAUCAAGAGUCAGAUGCUUAACUGACUAAGCCACCCAGGCGCCCCUGUUAGAGUCCUUUAAAGAAGACAAGAGUUCAAGGAGAAUGGAAGAGAAGGAAGGAACAUCAACAUCAACAAAAGAAGGAAGUGUGAUGUGGGUCUUAAAAAUGAGGUAGGAUUGGGAUGUGAGGAGCAUCUCUCUACAACAUCUUGCCUGCUGGUGCCAUGAUCCUGAAUAUUCAGUCACAGCUGGAACUGCUGGCAUGCACCACUGCCAUUGGUAGGUGGUAUUACCUGUGAUCUGAUCUCUUGCAGCUUGGACUGUGGCUGGUGGCCCUCCAUCUCAUGUGGCCUCACUCUGUUCCUGCUGAUUUGAAAGGCCUGUGACUCCCAUUCAUCUGCCACAACAUCAAAACACUCUUGCUCAGAAAUAGAGCUCCCCAAACUCUCAGUUUCCUCUAUGUUGAAUCCACACCACUGGAGCACAAAAAGCAAACAAGAAACACUAAAGCAUCAGAUAAGCCUGUCUCUUCCACCACACGACACCACCAGGAUUACUUUGAGGGAGCUGUCCCAGAGGUGACGUGGGAAGUGGUUGCCUUCUGGAGUCCCAGGUAGGGGUACAACAGAACUGUCAUGGCAUUGAAGACUCCAAGUUACCUAGAUGUUCCUAAAGCUACCCACUGUCCUUCAAGGUUGGCCUUGAGGCUGAGAUAAGAGGAGAACAAAGGACCAUGAGGAGCUCUUGCUCUACAGGCCUCUAUUAGGCAGCAGGGAAGGGGAGUUCCCUCCUUCCUGCCAGGUGGGGGACUCAUUUCUACACCUGGCCCUCCUGCGCCUGCUUCAAAAUGUUCUUGGACCUGGCCCAUUGCCUGAAGAGAAAAAAGGUAUAGGACAACCACGCAUUGUGUAACACAUUACAUCGCAGAGGGAAGUUGCCUGGAACUCUCCUCAGCUGGUUUAUAAAGGAGAAGGUAAAAGAAUGGGACACGGGAUACUUAAAUUUUACAAAGUUGUUCAAGAGCAGGGAUGGCAAACCGGCUUCUUCCGCAGAAGAUGGCAAUCUUCUUUCAUCAGCUGGCAAUCCCACU
Long non-coding RNA from Neofelis nebulosa (Clouded leopard), 1174 nucleotides. RefSeq lists it as uncharacterized. The transcript is spliced from 4 exons. The record is from RefSeq and is a predicted model, not a curated record. NCBI's taxonomy places the organism in Eukaryota, Metazoa, Chordata, Mammalia, Carnivora, Felidae.